This 1083-nucleotide long non-coding RNA is filed under the name Astyanax mexicanus (Mexican tetra). Its description in RNAcentral is "lncRNA (ENSAMXG00005010385.1)". The record is from RNAcentral. Lineage: Eukaryota; Metazoa; Chordata; Actinopteri; Characiformes; Acestrorhamphidae.
GUCUGACUGGACCGUCGCUGGCUUGCAGAGGGUGCUACAGAACCGCGAAAUCCAUUUCGCCCGCUCACACCACACUGUUCAGAUCCUCGGCCGCUUGGUGGAUAUCCACUUAGAGGUCAGAAGGGUGGGAAGAAGUGAGCCUCCUCUUUCAUCUGCCAAUAUAAAGCAGCUGGAGACAAUGGAGGAACAAUGCCUCAAGGACAAGCAAUCUUUGGAAUCCCUGGUAUGAUUUGCAAGUGAUAUGUUCUGUGUCAUUUAUCAGUAUUAUUUGGGUAUAUGUCAGUAAAAAUGUUAUAGCUACUGUUCUUUCAACAUUGACAGUAAUUUCACCCUUUCAUUUCAAGGUGUUACAACUUGCAAGAAUUGGUGGGAAAGAUGUAAGAGACUGUGUCCACAAAAUUCUUGACAGGCUCUUCACCAACCGGUUAAGUGCAAAGUUCAAUAUGAAGGAGAAAGGGAAGAAGCAGAAACUGCCUCUGGAGACAACAAAAAUAUAUGAAGCAAGAGAUAUUCAGCAUUUUCCAUUUAAUAUUUAAUAGCUUUAUUUUCUAUUCAUAUUUAGUACCUCAACUUUUUUUUCAUUAUGAACAUUUUCUAAAUGUAAAGUCAGUGGUUUAGCAAAAAUCUCAACUGAUUGAAUGCUCAAUUGAUGGAAUUUUAUUAAUGAAAGUUAAUGUUUUGUUGAAUGAGAAUAUUGGAAUCAGUGGGUCAAGCUGCAAACUAUAUUGUACAAAUGUACAUCAUCCUUGACCACUUGAUAUGAUAAUAUAGACUGGAGCAGCGUUUAUAUUACUUUCAUUUAAAUCCAUAAGAUAAUUAGAUGUUUGGAAGGAAUACCUUAUUUUUUCACACAUCUUAAAGAUUUUUGUGUCUGAUGAGUUGUUUUAUUUUGUAGUGGCAGAUGUAUCUAUGCAGGUUCUUUUAAUGUGUGACUCUUCACUGAAAGUCACCAUUUUUUGCAGUCUUAUCCCUUUCCAGAAUGCACUUUAUUGAUUUAAGUGAACUCCUGUCACGGCCUCGUUUAAAAUGGGCCAAAAUAACCCUUAACCCAAUUUAAAAAAAACUAUACACCUUGGGGAUCAG